AAUCCCUAGCCCUCAUUGCCGCCUUAGCAAAUUCCACCUUGAAGGAGGAAGAAAGCCCAAAGCCUAAUCGUAAGAGUUGGAGAGUUGACUCUGACAUUCGACUUCGUCGCCGCUGUUCCUUAGUCCUCUCCACUACACUCCCUCAUCUCAUCUCAUCUCGCAGCAGCUCAUCGUUCCUCUCCACUCGUCGUCGUGACCGACCGUCGUCGAUCUACUCGAGUUGCUCCUGCCCUGCUUCAGUUCGGGUAAGUAGAGGUACUCUGCAUCUCAUAUGCAAGAGGGAGAAGGAAGUUUGAUGGGGAACGAUGUCGUAUCUUCUGCCGCACCUGCACUCGUGACAGGCUGUGGAUCAGGCAAUCCUGGCUGAGGAGGAGCGCCUCACCGUCAUCUGAUUCGGCCACGAUUGGGAUGAAACCUGUAUACAGGUGGCAAUGAGAAGAAUUUUUAUAGCAAAGUAUAUGUAGGACAUGGAGCAUGUAAGUUGCAAAGAAGCAAAGAAAGAAUGAAGGAAGAAGAGAAUGUUGUUUGUUCGUCUCAUCUGAAAUUAUUGUUUAUCUCUUAUGUUUAUCAAUGAGGGAAGAAGAGAACGAUGGUUUUAUAUAAAGUGCAGAAAAUUAAACCCUCUGCUCCUAUAUAUGUGUAGUCAGAGGGUACUAGAAUGACUGAUGAGAAGUAACUUGAAAUGUGGAGCAAAUCUACAAAGAAUCGUAUACGAUUAAAGUUUCGAGCUUCCU
Molecule: non-coding RNA, 734 nt
Organism: Punica granatum (pomegranate)
Lineage: Eukaryota; Viridiplantae; Streptophyta; Magnoliopsida; Myrtales; Lythraceae
Source: RefSeq, a predicted model, not a curated record